This 465-nucleotide ribosomal RNA is filed under the name Vreelandella stevensii. RNAcentral's name for it is "partial 16S ribosomal RNA". It matches the Rfam family "Bacterial small subunit ribosomal RNA", at positions 338 to 795 of the family's 1533-position model. Lineage: Bacteria; Pseudomonadati; Pseudomonadota; Gammaproteobacteria; Oceanospirillales; Halomonadaceae. The record is from RNAcentral.
CCUACGGGGGGCAGCAGUGGGGAAUAUUGGACAAUGGGGGCAACCCUGAUCCAGCCAUGCCGCGUGUGUGAAGAAGGCCCUCGGGUUGUAAAGCACUUUCAGUGAGGAAGAACGCCUGGUGGUUAAUACCCAUCAGGAAAGACAUCACUCACAGAAGAAGCACCGGCUAACUCCGUGCCAGCAGCCGCGGUAAUACGGAGGGUGCGAGCGUUAAUCGGAUUUACUGGGCGUAAAGCGCGCGUAGGUGGCUUGAUAAGCCGGUUGUGAAAGCCCCGGGCUCAACCUGGGAACGGCAUCCGGAACUGUCAAGCUAGAGUGCAGGAGAGGAAGGUAGAAUUCCCGGUGUAGCGGUGAAAUGCGUAGAGAUCGGGAGGAAUACCAGUGGCGAAGGCGGCCUUCUGGACUGACACUGACACUGAGGUGCGAAAGCGUGGGUAGCAAACAGGAUUAGAUACCCUGGUAGUC